GACGAACGCUGGCGGCGUGCUUAACACAUGCAAGUCGAACGGAAAGGCCCGGCUUUUGUUGGGUGCUCGAGUGGCGAACGGGUGAGUAACACGUGAGUAACCUGCCCUUGACUUUGGGAUAACUUCAGGAAACUGGGGCUAAUACCGGAUAGGAGCUCCUGCUGCAUGGUGGGGGUUGGAAAGUUUCGGCGGUUGGGGAUGGACUCGAGGCUUAUCAGCUUGUUGGUGGGGUAGUUGCAUACCAAGGCUUUGACUGGUAGCCGGCCUGAGCGGGUGACCGGCCACAUUGGGACUGAGAUACGGCCCAGACUCCUACGGGAGGCAGCAGUGGGGAAUAUUGCACAAUGGGCGGAAGCCUGAUGCAGCAACGCCGCGUGCGGGAUGACGGCCUUCGGGUUGUAAACCGCUUUCGCCUGUGACGAAGCGUGAGUGACGGUAAUGGGUAAAGAAGCACCGGCUAACUACGUG
Molecule: ribosomal RNA, 468 nt
Filed under: uncultured bacterium
Lineage: Bacteria
Description: partial 16S ribosomal RNA
Rfam family: Bacterial small subunit ribosomal RNA
Source: RNAcentral